UAGGCUUAGUGCUAGGGGCUGGUUCUAUCCAUAACACCUGUGCACUGUUGGAUGCUUGCAUCCACUUUUAAACUAAACAUUAUUGUAACAAAUGUAGUCUUAUUAUAACAUAAUAAAACUUUCAACAACGGAUCUCUUGGCUCUCGCAUCGAUGAAGAACGCAGCGAAAUGCGAUAAGUAAUGUGAAUUGCAGAAUUCAGUGAAUCAUCGAAUCUUUGAACGCACCUUGCGCUCCUUGGUAUUCCGAGGAGCAUGCCUGUUUGAGUGUCAUGAAACCCUCAAACCCAAGUUUUGGAUUUCGGUCCAUGCUUGAGUUUGGAUUUGGAUGUUUGCCGGUGAUGAACCGACUCAUCUUAAAAGUAUUAGCUGGAUCUGUCUAUAUGACUGGUUUGACUUGGCAUAAUAAGUAUUUUGCUGAGGACAUCUUCGGAUGGCCAGGACCUAGACUACUGUCUGCUAACUAAACCAUCACUUUAAGUGCAUCCUUGGAUGUUACUCAUUGUGUAACUUUGACAUCUGGCCUCAAAUCAGGUAGGACUACCCGCUGAACUUAAGCAUAUCAAUAAGCGGAGGA
RNAcentral lists this ribosomal RNA (574 nucleotides) under Cryptococcus sp. DBVPG 5431. Its description in RNAcentral is "eukaryotic LSU rRNA". The stretch from base 117 to 270 matches the Rfam family "5.8S ribosomal RNA". Lineage: Eukaryota; Fungi; Basidiomycota; Tremellomycetes; Tremellales; Cryptococcaceae. The record is from RNAcentral.